Molecule: unclassified non-coding RNA, 347 nt
Filed under: soil metagenome
Description: partial contains 5.8S ribosomal RNA, internal transcribed spacer 2, and large subunit ribosomal RNA
Rfam family: 5.8S ribosomal RNA (bases 1-120)
Source: RNAcentral
GAUGAAGAACGCAGCAAAAUGCGAUAAGUAAUGUGAAUUGCAGAAUUCAGUGAAUCAUCGAAUCUUUGAACGCACAUUGCGCCCGCUGGUAUUCCGGCGGGCAUGCCUGUUCGAGCGUCAUUUCAACCCUCAAGCCCCCGGGUUUGGUGUUGGGGAUCGGCUCUGCCCUUCUGGGCGGUGCCGCCCCCGAAAUACAUUGGCGGUCUCGCUGCAGCCUCCAUUGCGUAGUAGCUAACACCUCGCAACUGGAACGCGGCGCGGCCAUGCCGUAAAACCCCAACUUCUGAAUGUUGACCUCGGAUCAGGUAGGAAUACCCGCUGACUUAAGCAUAUCAAUAAGCGGAGGA